Molecule: ribosomal RNA, 509 nt
Filed under: uncultured Microbulbifer sp.
Lineage: Bacteria; Pseudomonadati; Pseudomonadota; Gammaproteobacteria; Cellvibrionales; Microbulbiferaceae
Description: bacterial SSU rRNA
Rfam family: Bacterial small subunit ribosomal RNA
Source: RNAcentral
UCCUUCGGGGCGAGUAGAGCGGCGGACGGGUGAGUAAUGCUUGGGAAUCUACCCAGUAGCGGGGGAUAACCUGUGGAAACGCAGGCUAAUACCGCAUACGUCCUACGGGAGAAAGCAGGGGAUCUUCGGACCUUGCACUAUUGGAUGAGCCCAAGUCGGAUUAGCUAGUUGGUGGGGUAAUGGCUCACCAAGGCGACGAUCCGUAGCUGGUCUGAGAGGAUGAUCAGCCACACUGGGACUGAGACACGGCCCAGACUCCUGCGGGAGGCAGCAGUGGGGAAUAUUGGACAAUGGGCGCAAGCCUGAUCCAGCCAUGCCGCGUGUGUGAAGAAGGCUCUAGGGUUGUAAAGCACUUUCAGUAGGGAGGAAUGGUUGUUGAUUAAUACUCAUCAAUUUUGACGUUACUUACAGAAGAAGCACCGGCAAACUCCGUGCCAGCAGCCGCGGUAAUACGGAGGGUGCGAGCGUUAAUCGGAAUUACUGGGCGUAAAGCGCGCGUAGGUGGUUUG